This 336-nucleotide unclassified non-coding RNA is filed under the name soil metagenome. RNAcentral describes it as "partial contains 5.8S ribosomal RNA, internal transcribed spacer 2, and large subunit ribosomal RNA". The stretch from base 1 to 120 matches the Rfam family "5.8S ribosomal RNA", at positions 35 to 154 of the family's 154-position model. The record is from RNAcentral.
GAUCAAGAACGUAGCGAAAUGCGAUAAGUAGUGUGAAUUGCAGAAUUCAGUGAAUCAUCGAAUCUUUGAACGCACAUUGCGCCCCUUGGUAUUCCAUGGGGCAUGCCUGUUCGAGCGUCAUUUGUACCUUCAAGCUUUGCUUGGUGUUGGGUGUUUGUCUCGCCUUUGCGUGUAGACUCGCCUUAAAAUAAUUGGCAGCCGGCGUAUUGAUUUCGGAGCGCAGUACAUCUCGCGCUUUGCACUCAUAACGACAGCGUCCAAAAGUACAUUUUACACUCUUGACCUCGGAUCAGGUAGGGAUACCCGCUGAACUUAAGCAUAUCAAUAAGCGGAGGA